RNAcentral lists this ribosomal RNA (456 nucleotides) under uncultured soil bacterium. RNAcentral's name for it is "bacterial SSU rRNA". It matches the Rfam family "Bacterial small subunit ribosomal RNA", at positions 26 to 486 of the family's 1533-position model. The record is from RNAcentral.
AGAUUGAACGCUGGCGGCAUGCUUUACACAUGCAAGUCGAACGGCAGCACGGGGGCAACCCUGGUGGCGAGUGGCGAACGGGUGAGUAAUGCAUCGGAACGUAUCUUCAAGUGGGGGAUAACGCAUCGAAAGAUGCGCUAAUACCGCAUAAUCUCCGAGGAGAAAAGCAGGGGAUCGCAAGACCUUGCGCUUUUGGAGCGGCCGAUGUCUGAUUAGCUAGUUGGUGGGUAAAGGCUUACCAAGGCUUCGAUCAGUAGCUGGUCUGAGAGGACGACCAGCCACACUGGGACUGAGACACGGCCCAGACUCCUACGGGAGCAGCAGUGGGAAUUUGGACAAGUGGGGGAACCCUGAUCCAGCCAUGCCGCGUGAGUGAAGAAGGCCGUUACGGUUAGUAAAGUCUUACUUUCAGACCGGAACGAAACCGGUCACGGUACCUUAACGUAACCGUAGAAC